Non-coding RNA from Acidovorax sp. KKS102, 78 nucleotides. NCBI's taxonomy places the organism in Bacteria, Pseudomonadati, Pseudomonadota, Betaproteobacteria, Burkholderiales, Comamonadaceae. The record is from Rfam.
GGCAAGAGUAGAAGCGUUCACUGCGUUGUCCCUGUGCCAUCCUGCACGGGGCAAUGCCAGUCGGAAAUUGCUCUUGAA